GGGCAUGAUCAUACCAGCACUAAUGCACCGGAUGCCAUAAACACUCCACAGUUAAGUGCGGUUGGGCGAGAGUAGUACUAGGAUGGGUGACCUCCGGGGAAAUCCUCGUGUUGCACCCC
Molecule: ribosomal RNA, 119 nt
Filed under: Cephalotus follicularis
Lineage: Eukaryota; Viridiplantae; Streptophyta; Magnoliopsida; Oxalidales; Cephalotaceae
Source: RNAcentral